GACGAACGCUGGCGGCGUGCUUAACACAUGCAAGUCGAACGGAAAGGCCCUGCUUUUGUGGGGUGCUCGAGUGGCGAACGGGUGAGUAACACGUGAGUAACCUGCCCUUGACUUUGGGAUAACUUCAGGAAACUGGGGCUAAUACCGGAUAGGAGCUCCUGCUGCAUGGUGGGGGUUGGAAAGUUUCGGCGGUUGGGGAUGGACUCGCGGCUUAUCAGCUUGUUGGUGGGGUAGUGACUUACCAAGGCUUUGACAGGUAGCCGGCCUGAGAGGGUGACCGGCCACAUUGGGACUGAGAUACGGCCCAGACUCCUACGGGAGGCAGCAGUGGGGAAUAUUGCACAAUGGGCGGAAGCCUGAUGCAGCAACGCCGCGUGCGGGAUGACGGCCUUCGGGUUGUAAACCGCUUUCGCCUGUGACGAAGCGUGAGUGACGGUAAUGGGUAAAGAAGCACCGGCUAACUACGUG
This 468-nucleotide ribosomal RNA is filed under the name uncultured bacterium. Its description in RNAcentral is "partial 16S ribosomal RNA". It matches the Rfam family "Bacterial small subunit ribosomal RNA", at positions 28 to 507 of the family's 1533-position model. The record is from RNAcentral.